AUAUAAGUGUCAGAUAAUAUGAGUUGGUUUUAAGCAUCAAUUAUAGGAUUUAUACUCCUCUUAUAUU
This 67-nucleotide transfer RNA is filed under the name Benedenia hoshinai. Its description in RNAcentral is "tRNA-Leu". The record is from RNAcentral. Lineage: Eukaryota; Metazoa; Platyhelminthes; Monogenea; Capsalidea; Capsalidae.